AUACAUGAACUGGUUGCUUCCG
This 22-nucleotide non-coding RNA is filed under the name Arabidopsis thaliana (thale cress). The record is from RNAcentral. Lineage: Eukaryota; Viridiplantae; Streptophyta; Magnoliopsida; Brassicales; Brassicaceae.